GGGAGUUACUUAAUAGUUGGGGGGAAGCUCGGGGACUCGAAUUAAUACCGCAUACGACCUACGGGAGAAAGGCGGCAGUUUACUGCUCUCGCUAUUAGAUGAGCCUAAGUCGGAUUAGCUAGAUGGCGGGGUAAAGGCCUACCAUGGCGACGAUCUGUAGCUGGUCUGAGAGGAUGAUCAGCCACACCGGGACUGAGACACGGCCCGGACUCCUACGGGAGGCAGCAGUGGGGAAUAUUGGACAAUGGGGGAAACCCUGAUCCAGCCAUGCCGCGUGUGUGAAGAAGGCCUUUUGGUUGUAAAGCACUUUAAGCAGUGAAGAAGACUCUUCGGUUAAUACCCGGAGACGAUGACAUUAGCUGCAGAAUAAGCACCGGCUAACUCUGUGCCAGCAGCCGCGGUAAUACAGAGGGUGCAAGCGUUAAUCGGAAUUACUGGGCGUAAAGCGAGCGUAGGUGGCUUGAUAAGUCAGAUGUGAAAUCCCCGGGCUUAACCUGGGAACUGCAUCUGAUACUGUCAGGCUAGAGUAGGUGAGAGGAAGGUAGAAUUCCAGGUGUAGCGGUGAAAUGCGUAGAGAUCUGGAGGAAUACCGAUGGCGAAGGCAGCCUUCUGGCAUCAUACUGACACUGAGGCUCGAAAGCGUGGGUAGCAAACAGGAUUAGAUACCCUGGUAGUCCACGCCGUAAACGAUGUCUACUAGUCGUUGGGUCCCUUGAGGACUUAGUGACGCAGCUAACGCAAUAAGUAGACCGCCUGGGGAGUACGGCCGCGAGGUUUAAAACUCAAAUUGAAUUGACGGGGGCCCGCCACCAAGCCGGUGGAGCAUGUUGGUUUAUUUCGAUGCAACGCGAAGAACCCUUACCUGGUCUUGAACAUAUCCUAGAAUUCCCUGCAGAAGAUGGCGGGGAGUGCCUUUCCGGAAAUUUAGAAUAACAGGUGCUGCAUGCUGUCCGUCAGCCUCCGUGGUCGUGAGAUGUUUGGAUUUAGGUCCCCGCACCGAGCGCCACCUUUUCCUUAGUUACCAGCGUUUAGGCGGUACUCUAAGGUAUCUGGCAGUGACCAAACUUGAAGCAACGCGGCACAUACGUUCAGUCAUCAUGGCCAUUAGAACAGGUAACUCA
RNAcentral lists this ribosomal RNA (1121 nucleotides) under uncultured bacterium. RNAcentral describes it as "bacterial SSU rRNA". It matches the Rfam family "Bacterial small subunit ribosomal RNA", at positions 120 to 1220 of the family's 1533-position model. RNAcentral also lists the same sequence under 1 other name. The record is from RNAcentral.